Hydra vulgaris (swiftwater hydra) is the source of this 374-nucleotide non-coding RNA. The record is from RefSeq and is a predicted model, not a curated record. NCBI's taxonomy places the organism in Eukaryota, Metazoa, Cnidaria, Hydrozoa, Anthoathecata, Hydridae.
CAGAUCACUAAAAACAGUAGCUAGUGAUUCUUCUACAGUCAAAUCAAGAAAUAGUGCAUCCAAUGAAAAUUCCAGAAGUCAGUUCUCUUCAAACUGUCACAACUCACCAUAGAAAUCUUGGAAGUUAAAAAGCUCCUUGAGCGACAAUCGAUGCCAACUGCUUUACUAAGUGCUAACAACUAAAUGGACUCUUUGGAAAUUAGUGAUGGCCCCAUUGACACAGUUGAACAAUACAAGUCGUUGGCUUUUCGUUGUUAAAGUCCUGCUGCAAGUACUCUUUUGUUACAUUUGCUAAAGAAAAUUGGUGAAUCAGAUCUGGGAAAGACUAAUGCGUAUAUUAAGUCGCGACUUUUUACUAAUUCUUUGAUGUCGCA